UGGUCGGCGACAAGAAAACGCCACUCGAUGAAGCCAAGGUGCUGCACGCGCUCGACGGACGGCUGGCGAAAUUCAAGAUGCCCAAGCGGGUGAUCUUCGUCGACGACCUGCCGCGCAAUACCAUGGGCAAGGUGCAGAAGAACGUGCUGCGCGACACCUAUGCCGGGAUCUACAAGAAAUGACGCGGCUGCAAAACAUGGUCCGGGCCGCCGCACGACACAUCGUAAAGGCUGAUGCCGUCAUGCCGAUCGUCCUUCGUCCGGCCUGCAACGAGGACUUCGCCUUUUGCGUCAAACUUAUGGCGAACAUCAUCCGGGACUUGAAGCUGGAUGUGACGCGGCAGGAGGAAAACCUGCGUCAUCUCUGGGAAGCCGAUCAGGUGCAGAUCGU
This 390-nucleotide unclassified non-coding RNA is filed under the name Hevea brasiliensis (rubber tree). The record is from RNAcentral. Lineage: Eukaryota; Viridiplantae; Streptophyta; Magnoliopsida; Malpighiales; Euphorbiaceae.